AUUGAACGCUGGCGGCAGGCCUAACACAUGCAAGUCGAGCGGAUGAAGGGAGCUUGCUCCUGGAUUCAGCGGCGGACGGGUGAGUAAUGCCUAGGAAUCUGCCUGGUAGUGGGGGAUAACGUCCGGAAACGGGCGCUAAUACCGCAUACGUCCUGAGGGAGAAAGUGGGGGAUCUUCGGACCUCACGCUAUCAGAUGAGCCUAGGUCGGAUUAGCUAGUUGGUGGGGUAAAGGCCUACCAAGGCGACGAUCCGUAACUGGUCUGAGAGGAUGAUCAGUCACACUGGGACCGGGGAACGGGCCCAAAUCCCAAGGGGGGGCAGGGGGGGGAAAUUUGGAAAAAAGGGGGAAACCCUGUCCCAGCCAGCCCGGGGGGGUGAAGAAGGUCUUCGGUUUGAAAAGCACUUUAAGUUGGGGGGAAGGGCAGUAAGUUAAUCCCUGGCUGUUUGGCCGUUACCAAAAAAAUAAGCACCGGCUACCUUCGU
Molecule: ribosomal RNA, 484 nt
Filed under: uncultured bacterium
Lineage: Bacteria
Description: partial 16S ribosomal RNA
Rfam family: Bacterial small subunit ribosomal RNA
Source: RNAcentral